UCUCUCUCUCUCUGUCAAAUAAAUAAGUAAAAUUAAAAAAAAAAUAAAACGUAUAAAAAAAAUGAGUAAAAUUGUUUUUGAGUAACAGUUUUUUUAUCUGAAUUAUCCAGAUAGUUUUCAUAAAUUGAUCCAAUUAAUUAUUCUUGUUCCUCAGUAAUUUUGCCCUUAUAGCAAAGUUUUAAUGAAUAAAGGAAAGGCUCAGGCUGCCUACCAAUUCCGUGCAUCAUGAAUGCUCAUGUGAAGAUCCUUAAAGCUGGUCUAUAUCAUAGAGGUAACUUGGAUAAGGGGAAGAAAUUUCCAUCCCAGCUUACAGGAAGCUAGCUGAGGAGAUCGUUGCCAAGCAACAGUGCUUCUGUUCCAUGGUACUCCCUAAUGACACCAGCCAUCUCUAUUCAGGUUAUGGGUAAGAUAGACAGGGCCAGGUUAUGGGAUGGGUUGCUGUGAUGGGAGGGGAACGAUAGUGUUGGCACUCCCAGGUAUUGGGUUUGCCUUUCUGAGCUUGAAGAAAUAUCUGAGGUGCACCAGAUUCUAACUCAGAGUUGGAAAAAAGAAAGUAGUUAGAACUUUGAUUUUUUUUCCUCCAAAGCUAUGUGGCUUUGAGAAAAAUCUAGAUGUCUUAUGAUCACAAGAAAAUCUCACUGUGCCAUUGGCCAUCUAAUGAGAGGGAGUGAUCAUAGGCAUUUUAAAAACAUCUCCAUUAAGUGAGAGACACCUUACUGAAAAGACCUGUCUUUAUAUUCUGUCUGGACUAGAGUCCUACUAUAUUAACCAAAAGUCCUGCUUUGAUCAUAUAUACAUCUUGCCAACACCCAAAGCUUCUCAAGGGAAAUAUCUUUCUGUCCUAGUAGACAGGUGACUGGAUAUACUGUGGUAAAGAGUGGUAUUUUUCAGUUAAGGCACAGUUUAUACAUUUUAAGAUAAUGUAUUGAAAUUAAGAAGGGACAGAAACAGAACUCUUACUAUAUUCUGGUUUGGAGGAGUCAAAAAUAAUUCCUAAUGACUUUGAGGUAGCACUGUGUAACAGGACUUGUGAGACCUGACUUCUUGUCCCAGCUGUUCUACUAAUGAGCUGUGUGACCUUGAGCAAAGUCAUUUAAGGUACCUUAAACCUUAGAUCUUCUUUGUGUGAAAUGAAAACAGUAAUAUCUGUCCUACUUACCUCACAGUGAAAUAAUAUAUAUAUAAAAUGUGCUUCUGGUGGUAGUCAGUAUAAAUCUUCAGGACAGAUGGGGGCACUUCCUUUGGAGAGGGCCUCUGCACUGCCUCUGCACUGCCAUGGGGUUGACACUUGGGAGGGAAGUACAGGUUGUCACAACCAAUCAUUUUCAAAUUCAUGGUCAGCUGUUCCUUUGAGACUUUUUAAACAAUAAAAAUGGAUUUUAUAGAUUAAAAUGUAGUAUAGCUCAGGUAAUAGUAGAUCCAACAAGUUGGUGGUUUGAAUUAUUAUGACCUAUCUGGACAGGGUUUUUUUGUUUUCUUAAAGACCUGACUUACUCAUAUGAUCUCCGUAAAAAUGCUCCUACAUUCUAAAGGUAGGCAAAAUUAAAUUUACACUGUUAGUAAGGGAAGUGUAUGUGAUAGAAUUUCACUUUUAAUAUUGAAUAUAAAUUAUGUGUAUUUGUAUACACAUGUUACAGCAAAUUGAGAUCUCAUAUACAGCCAGAAUGGGGUACAUAUUGACCCUGUUUUAUGAAUAUGGAAUUUUGAAGUCGUAAUAUUGGAUUUUCACCUACCUUGGCCCUAUCGGUGAUUUAUUGGACCUAAUACUCCCUUGGUCAAGACUCUUCAUCAUACUACUGGGAAAUGGGAAACAAUGGGAAAACACACUUAAAUUCCUAAUGAUCAAUUUAUAAAUUUUUUCCAGGAACUCACUGUUGUGAAGACUGACUGCUUGACUAUUUCUGGCUAACACUGCUUCGUGCAAGUAGAGAGUUGGAUACAUUCCUGCUCUGUGAAGAAGUACUUGAACAGGAGUUUGAAAGGUAAUCAGACAAAAUUCAAACAUCUCCAAAAUAGAAAACAGAUGAUGAAAGUCCACUGUAAUCCCACCUUCUAACCGUAUUACAGUCUGCAGUCUAACCCCUUUAGAAGUCCGUGGAAUAAUGAGCCUGAGUCUUUGGGUAUGGGAGACCUACACAGCACAGCUGCCUCGAUAUUCUGCUCUGAAAUCUUGGGUCUGGUUACAGAAAGGAAAGCUGAGGACGGGAACUAGAAGAAGGUUCUCUAGUCUUUUGAACCCAACUCCUCCUUUCUGGCUACAUUUUGCUUCUUAUCCAAGGCUGGAUCCAUUCCUGACCAGGGUCUUCUCUCUGUCUAUGUCUGCGGGAUUUCAACUUUAUAUAACCAGAUAGUAAACAGCUCCAACUGCAAGCCAGGGCACACCGGAAUGCCAGGCAUCAUGUGGGAAUGUGAGGGAAAAGCGCAUUCACCACCCAAAUCACUGCUGGAUCCAGAGAAAACUGCAAGCCUGGACCAGAGCAGCCCUGAGGAGAAACGAGCUGUAGACUGGGCGUCUGGCGGAAGGAGUUCCCUCUUCAGAGAGUGCAGGUUUGUGACACCAAAUACUCCAUUUAAAGUUCCUGGGAUGCUUGGAGCAAGUGGGAAGAAAAAGCAUCAAGGUCAUUGAACACCGAACAAGGCCAAGCGAAAACAAAAAGCAAACAAAACAUGGCCGCGGACCUCUGCAGAGUGAUCCGACUUACCUUGACCACAGCGAAAUCUUCAGGGUGCAGGUGAACACGGGACAAAGAGAACCAGGCAGAAGACAGGUGGUUCCUGGUGGGCAGGGUUGCAAGACCAAUGUCAUUCAACAUGCAGGACACGAUCCAGAGUAAUGUCACCAGAAGAGCCUCCUGGGCCCCUCACCUCAGACGGGAGGCGAGGGGCUGACCAGGCAGUGCCCACGAGUGGCCGUUUAAAUACAAAGACUCGUACCAUUUCUGAUCGUGUUUGGCCCGUGGUGGUUGGCUGUAAGCAAACUGCACCGAAUCCCAUGAAAGAUUUUUUUCAGGGUGUGUCUCUCGCCUUGGAAACUGGGAAAUCAAACUUAAAAGGAAAGAGGAAGACAAGUGACCUGCCAUCUAGAAAUCUCGGAGUCAGGCAGCACAGAGUGAAUGGGUGUUACUGGUAUCUCCAAGACUUCCCCUUGGCUCCAGUCAUCCCAGAGAACCUGGGAGAGAAGGAUUCCACCCCAUCCCCACCAUAAACCUGAGGCACGUACAGGUGGGCAAGAGAGCGUGGCCUUUCUCUCCUGCAUCGGUCAGUCAUUGGAUAUGGGCUGCCCUUGGAAGGAGCGUGACCUUGGAUGAGGCAGUAAUCUUCAACCAAUAUAAUCCUCAAAGAGGGUGGACAGCUGAGGCCUGUCAGCUGACAACCUUUGCGGCAUCUGGCGGAAUCAGGUUUCCAUUCCCAAAGGGGGACCACGUGGCAGAGCCCAGGGUCCCCAUGCACUGACUCCCCGAGGGUCCCCCUGCCCUGUUGUGCGCUCAAGGCUGAGGACCAUCAGAUUCCUUGGCCCCUUGUCUCUCCUCACUUAGACGAUGGUUGAAACAAUAAAUCAGCUUGAGUGUGUUGAGAAGUUCAUUUGUGCAACAUCUUUGAUAUUAGACAGGAAGACAAAUGUUUAUGUUGUUAUUAAUUAGUUUAUUUGAUUGAUUAAAAAGAAUGUUUAUUCAUCCGAGAUGCAAAAUUUUAAAUAUAUAUUUAAUACAUAUAUUUGAAAAUAGAAUAACGUAUUCUGAUAUUAUUAUUACUUCUAAAUGGAAUUCCCAAGGAAAAUGUUAAGAUCCCUGUUGUCUUUCAGAGCAAUAUGAACAUACCCCCAGACCACUGGGGAUUCGGAGACGGAAGUGGUUUUUGUAUCAAUGAAGACAAAUAAAGGCUGCAGCUGUCCCUGCUGUAACCCUAGCUCCAGCUGCUCACAUCUCUCCAUUGUCUCUGGACUUUCUCACUUCAGGAUCCCCGACUGUCCCGGCUGCUGUCACACAUUUCUUCCUGGACCCUCCACACACAUGCGGGUUAUAUUUGGAUGUGGAAAAGAGCCUUCCUGGUGGUGUCACAUGGCGCCCUCAAUGAUGUCCCACAGAGGAACCCCCUGACCUGGAAACACAGUUCCAGCCAGCCUCGGCAAAAAGGGAAAAGCUAAGAAUGAGGCUGAAUAACGGCAUGGAAAGGGCAGGAUGCAGCCAAGCCCAGCAUGGCAGAGCCAGGGACUGAGUGCUGCCAGCUUCUCGCUCGUCUUGGUCCUACGCUUUUCCUCUGUACCUCGACUCAAUCCCCUGUCAUUGCGGACCUGCUUCAUCCCGAGCUGGAUGAAAAAUGCUGGAAAGGACUUUUAUUCUCCUGCUUGCAUGUCGGUGCUGGCCCCUGCCCCACCCCCACCAGUCAGCUGGGGAGAUGAGGUUCAUGGAAGAACACGGAAGCUCCUAAGAUUUUUGUUGAGCAAAACUUCGAGACUGAGUGAGGGGCCAGAGCCUUCACUGACUGGGGAGAGGUGACCUAGAGGUCGGUAGAUGAAGGUGAAGAAAAAAGGCAAAGGGCACCUCGCACUCAGCAAAGUCCCAGAGGAGAAGAUCAGAUACUUACUUUCCUAGGCUCCCUUGCUGUCAAUCACCCGGCGUUCGAGCUGCGUUUGGCCAGUAGCACACCCUCCCUGCAGACUCUGAAGUUGAUUAUGUAAGGAGCAAAUGCUGUGUGAAACCAUUUAAGUGAGAGCGGCAGCAGCCUGGUCCACUUUCUCAGAUAGUGGCUGUCAAAAGGAUAUUAUGUCCCUCCUACGCCAGACCAACAGCACAUUCGUGGGCCAUUUGUCGAGUAAUGGUUCUGUGCCACCAAAGAGUCCCUGCGACACUCUUUACAUGUGCUCUCUCAUUCAACUGUCACUUCGAUUAUAUGAGGCGACUCUCCCCCAAAGCAGCGAAGCAGCGUGAGCUCUGCAUCUGAGAAGCGGCCCACAUGACAUACCCUGGAGCAGCAAUCACGUUAUCUUCUGAGAUCUUCCACUGAUGUCGCUCGCUGACAAGGAAAGGACUUGUGGUGGGGGAUCGUCAGGCCAAGCCCAAAGAGCUAUUGGUAUUAUGCACCCAGAGUCCUCAAGCUGUUGCAGAAAAUGAUAUCCCCAAAUUGGUAUAUCAUGAAGAGCCGAUCAAAGACUGAACAGUCAAAACUUCAGAAAAAUAGUAUUAGGAAGAUGCCAUAAAGUGAAUUAAUGAAAAAUAUUAUUUUCUGGAGAGUGCUUGUCAGAAUGCUCGCGGGCACCCUUGCCCUGGACGUGGAGGGGCACCUACAUCCGCUCCAGCUGCC
Molecule: long non-coding RNA, 5301 nt
Organism: Ailuropoda melanoleuca (giant panda)
Lineage: Eukaryota; Metazoa; Chordata; Mammalia; Carnivora; Ursidae
Exons: 18
Source: RefSeq, a predicted model, not a curated record